Molecule: ribosomal RNA, 1848 nt
Filed under: Triticum aestivum (bread wheat)
Lineage: Eukaryota; Viridiplantae; Streptophyta; Magnoliopsida; Poales; Poaceae
Description: partial small subunit ribosomal RNA
Source: RNAcentral
AUGAUCCAUAGUUUUGUGGCUGGAGGUAGUGUUGCCAUUAAAGUCAAUGAUGACGUUGGCAACUAUUUCCAACCAAAGAAAGGAUUGCGACAAGGUGACUCAAUAUCGCCCAUGCUAUUCAAUAUAGUGGCGGAUAUGUUAGCGGUCAUGAUUGAGCGUGCCAAGGUUGAUGGCCAAAUUGAUGGGGUAGUGAAUCAUCUAGUGGAUGGUGGUCUUUCUAUCCUUCAAUAUGCCGAUGAUACGAUUCUCUUUAUGGAUCAUGACCUCGAGAAAGCAAGAAAUCUGAAAUUAAUUUUAUCAGCAUUCGAGCAACUCUCAGGGCUUAAGAUAAAUUUCCAUAAAAGUGAAUUGUUUUGUUUUGGCGAGGCUCAAGACGAGGCCCAUCUGUAUGCCGACCUGUUCGGAUGCGGGUUGGGCCAGUUUCCGAUCACUUAUUUGGGUAUACCGAUACAUUAUCGAAGACUCACAAAUGCUGAAUGGAAACACGUCGAGGAGAGACUACAAAAAAGGCUUAGCAGUUGGAAAGGUAAACUGCUAUCUCUGGGUGGGAGGUUGGUCCUCAUAAAUUCAGUACUAAGUAACAUGGUACUGUAUAUGAUUUCCUUCUUCCAAUUGCCGAAAGGAGUUUUACAUAGAUUGGAUUACUUCCGAUCAAGAUUCUUUUGGCAAGGAGAUAGCGAGAGAAAGAAAUAUCGGCUGGCUAAAUGGAGUGUGGUUUGCCGUCCCAAGGACCAAGGCGGGUUGGGAAUUCAUGACCUUGAGGUUAAGAAUAGAGCCCUCCUUGGCAAAUGGUUAUUUAAGUUGUUGACCGAAGAUGGUGUAUGGCAAACCCUCCUUAGGAGAAAAUAUGUGGGUUCAAAGGCGAUAUCCCAGGUAUACUGGAAGCCUGGGGACUCUCAUUUUUGGGCGGGAUUAAUGGCAACGAAGAAAUAUUUCUUCCGCUAUGGGUCCUUCUCAAUUAAGAAUGGCUCGGAAAUUAGAUUCUGGGAGGAUAAGUGGUUAGGUAAUGCUACUCUCCGGGAACAAUAUCCAGCUCUAUACAAUAUUGUACGUCACAAGGGUGAUACUAUUGCCAAGGUUUUGGAAUCAUUUCCGCCCAAUGUGACGUUCAGAAGGGAUUUAAUUGGACCUAGACUUCAAUCGUGGAACAUAUUACUUCAACGAUUAUCCACGGUACAGUUGUCACAGGGGUCCGAUUUAUUUCGUUGGAACCUACAUGAGAAUGGGCAAUUCUCAGUGGAAUCUAUGUAUAGAGCUUUGAUCCAGUCUGACGUGCCAGUUGAUAUUAAUAAGAAGAUCUGGAAGAUGAAGAUACCUCUUAAGAAUAAAAUNNNNNNNNNNUUUGCAUGGUAUCUUCGUCGCGGAGUCAUUCUUACUAAAGAUAACCUUAUUAAGAGAAAUUGGCAUGGAAGUACGCAAUGUGUAUUUUGUCCGCAUGAUGAGACAAUAAAACAUUUGUUCUUCCAAUGUAAAUUGGCUCGUUCUAUAUGGUCAGUCAUCCAAAUAGCUUCUGGCUUGUACCCUCCUUGUAGUGUUGCUAAUAUAUUUGGCAAUUGGUUACAUGGGAUUGAUCACAAGUUCAGAAGUCUACUUAGGGUGGGAGCGCUUGCCGUGAUUUGGUCGCUUUGGCUAUGUAGAAAUGAUAAGAUUUUUAACGAUAAAAGUACUUCGCUUAUGCAGGUUAUCUACAGAUGUACUGGGACGCUUCGUUUAUGGUCCUCUCUACAACGAGUGGAGAAUCGAGACCUGUUUACGGAGGUGUGUACACGAUUGGAGGUUACGGCGAGGGAUACUUUUAUCCAACAUGGGUGGCAGCAUGAUCUUAGGAUUGGGCCACCGACGGUUUAG